GAUGAAGAACGUAGCAAAAUGCGAUACUUGGUGUGAAUUGCAGAAUCCCGUGAACCAUCGAGUUUUUGAACGCAAGUUGCGCCCGAAGCCUUUUGGUCGAGGGCACGUCUGCCUGGGCGUCACGCAUCGCGUCGCCCCCCACAAUUCUCCGUAAAGGGAACAUGUGUUUUGGGGGCGGAUAUUGGUCUCCCGUGCUCAUGGCGUGGUUGGCCGAAAUAGGAGUCCUUUCGAUGGACGCACGAACUAGUGGUGGUCGUAAAAACCCUCGUCUUUUGUUUCGUGCUGUUGCUCGCAAGGUAAACUCUUUAAAAACCCCAAUGUGUCGUCUCUUGACGACGCUUCGACCGCGACCCCAGGUCAGGCGGGACUACCCGCUGAGUUUAAGCAUAUCAAUAAGCGGAGGA
RNAcentral lists this unclassified non-coding RNA (404 nucleotides) under soil metagenome. RNAcentral describes it as "partial contains 5.8S ribosomal RNA, internal transcribed spacer 2, and large subunit ribosomal RNA". The stretch from base 1 to 122 matches the Rfam family "5.8S ribosomal RNA", at positions 35 to 154 of the family's 154-position model. The record is from RNAcentral.